GUAUUUGAUUAUUAUAGGCACGUAGGCCCAUUGAUCACAUUCUACAACAUACUAUGUGGUAUAUGAAUACAUAGUACUCGAGGGAGAGGUUUUGCAAGUCAUUUGAGAAGAGCUGUAUGCUUUCGCACUCAGCAUUCCUCACGUCCGAAAAGGCCAUAUAGCCAUCCGAUAGUCGACUGCUCUCAACCCCCAAGACUACAAAAGGUGCACAGGUGGACGAAUAAAGUCAAGACAAGUGUGCACAUGCCCCGGAGAGCCAGCUACAACCCAUCAAGAAUAUUCAAUAAUGAUCCUUCCGCAGGUUCACCUACGGAAA
Molecule: unclassified non-coding RNA, 316 nt
Filed under: uncultured fungus
Lineage: Eukaryota; Fungi
Description: sequence contains ITS1
Source: RNAcentral